This 114-nucleotide ribosomal RNA is filed under the name Rickettsiales bacterium. Lineage: Bacteria; Pseudomonadati; Pseudomonadota; Alphaproteobacteria; Rickettsiales. The record is from RNAcentral.
CUUGGUGACUAUUGCGCUGUGGAACCACUCAAUACAUUCCGAACUUGCAAGUGAAACGCAGGUUGCGCCGAUGGUACUUUACUUCAGGUAUGGGAGAUUAGGUUGCCGCCAAGC